Molecule: ribosomal RNA, 253 nt
Filed under: uncultured bacterium
Lineage: Bacteria
Description: partial 16S ribosomal RNA
Rfam family: Bacterial small subunit ribosomal RNA
Source: RNAcentral
UACGUAGGUGGCAAGCGUUAAUCGGAAUUACUGGGCGUAAAGCGCUCGUAGGUAGUAUAUCAAGUCAAGGGUGAAAUCCCCGCGCUCAACGUGGGAACUGCCUUUGAAACUGUUACACUUGAGUGUGUGAGAGGAUAGUGGAAUUCCAGGUGUAGGAGUGAAAUCCGUAGAUAUCUGGAGGAACACCAGUGGCGAAGGCGACUAUCUGGCACAUAACUGACACUGAGGAGCGAAAGCGUGGGUAGCAAACAGG